This 71-nucleotide transfer RNA is filed under the name Niveomyces insectorum. RNAcentral describes it as "Sporothrix insectorum tRNA-Arg". It matches the Rfam family "tRNA". From Rfam's summary of the family: Transfer RNA (tRNA) molecules are approximately 80 nucleotides in length. Their secondary structure includes four short double-helical elements and three loops (D, anti-codon, and T loops). The record is from RNAcentral. RNAcentral also lists the same sequence under 1 other name. Lineage: Eukaryota; Fungi; Ascomycota; Sordariomycetes; Hypocreales; Cordycipitaceae.
UUCUUAUUAGCUUAAUGGUAAAGCAAGAUACUUCUAAUAUCCAGAUUUUAGUUCGAAUCUAAAAUGAGAAU